This 2890-nucleotide ribosomal RNA is filed under the name Vibrio harveyi. RNAcentral's name for it is "23S ribosomal RNA". It matches the Rfam family "Bacterial large subunit ribosomal RNA". The record is from RNAcentral. Lineage: Bacteria; Pseudomonadati; Pseudomonadota; Gammaproteobacteria; Vibrionales; Vibrionaceae.
GGUUAAGUGACUAAGCGUACACGGUGGAUGCCUUGGCAGUCAGAGGCGAUGAAGGACGUAUUAACUUGCGAUAAGCCCAGAUUAGGUAGUAAAAACCACUUGAGUCUGGGAUUUCCGAAUGGGGAAACCCACUUACAUAAGUAAGUAUCGCUGCGUGAAUACAUAGCGCAGCGAGGCGAACCGGGGGAACUGAAACAUCUAAGUACCCCGAGGAAAAGAAAUCAACCGAGAUUCCGAAAGUAGCGGCGAGCGAAAUUGGACUAGCCCUUAAGCUUUUUAUGCGUCAGGUGAAACUUCUGGAAAGUUGUGCGAUACAGGGUGAUAGCCCCGUAACCGGCAACGCAUAUAAAGUGAAAUCGAGUAGGGCGGGACACGUGAUAUCCUGUCUGAAUAUGGGGGGACCAUCCUCCAAGGCUAAAUACUACUGACUGACCGAUAGUGAACCAGUACCGUGAGGGAAAGGCGAAAAGAACCCCUGUGAGGGGAGUGAAAUAGAACCUGAAACCGUGUACGUACAAGCAGUAGGAGCACCUUCGUGGUGUGACUGCGUACCUUUUGUAUAAUGGGUCAGCGACUUAUAUUCAGUGGCAAGGUUAACCAUCUAGGGGAGCCGUAGGGAAACCGAGUCUUAACUGGGCGUUCAGUCUCUGGAUAUAGACCCGAAACCAGGUGAUCUAGCCAUGGGCAGGUUGAAGGUUGAGUAACAUCAACUGGAGGACCGAACCGACUAAUGUUGAAAAAUUAGCGGAUGACUUGUGGCUAGGGGUGAAAGGCCAAUCAAACCUGGAGAUAGCUGGUUCUCCCCGAAAGCUAUUUAGGUAGCGCCUCGGACGAAUACUACUGGGGGUAGAGCACUGUUAAGGCUAGGGGGUCAUCCCGACUUACCAACCCUUUGCAAACUCCGAAUACCAGUAAGUACUAUCCGGGAGACACACGGCGGGUGCUAACGUCCGUCGUGGAGAGGGAAACAACCCAGACCGCCAGCUAAGGUCCCAAAUUACUACUAAGUGGGAAACGAUGUGGGAAGGCUCAGACAGCCAGGAUGUUGGCUUAGAAGCAGCCAUCAUUUAAAGAAAGCGUAAUAGCUCACUGGUCGAGUCGGCCUGCGCGGAAGAUGUAACGGGGCUAAGUAGUAAACCGAAGCUGCGGCAAUGCACUUUAGUGCAUUGGGUAGGGGAGCGUUCUGUAAGCGGUUGAAGGUGUGUGGUAACGCAUGCUGGACGUAUCAGAAGUGCGAAUGCUGACAUGAGUAACGAUAAAGGGGGUGAAAAACCUCCUCGCCGGAAGACCAAGGGUUCCUGUCCAACGUUAAUCGGGGCAGGGUAAGUCGACCCCUAAGGCGAGGCCGAAAGGCGUAGUCGAUGGGAAACGGGUUAAUAUUCCCGUACUUCUUACAAUUGCGAUGGGGGGACGGAGAAGGCUAGGUGGGCCUGGCGACGGUUGUCCAGGUUCAAGUGCGUAGGCUUAAGAGUUAGGUAAAUCCGGCUCUUUCUAAGGCUGAGACACGACGUCGAGCUACUACGGUAGUGAAGUCAUUGAUGCCAUGCUUCCAGGAAAAGCCUCUAAGCUUCAGAUUGUAAGGAAUCGUACCCCAAACCGACACAGGUGGUCGGGUAGAGAAUACCAAGGCGCUUGAGAGAACUCGGGUGAAGGAACUAGGCAAAAUGGUACCGUAACUUCGGGAGAAGGUACGCUCUCGACGGUGAAGUCCCUCGCGGAUGGAGCUAUUGAGAGUCGCAGAUACCAGGUGGCUGCAACUGUUUAUUAAAAACACAGCACUGUGCAAAAUCGUAAGAUGACGUAUACGGUGUGACGCCUGCCCGGUGCCGGAAGGUUAAUUGAUGGGGUUAGACUUCGGUCGAAGCUCUUGAUCGAAGCCCCGGUAAACGGCGGCCGUAACUAUAACGGUCCUAAGGUAGCGAAAUUCCUUGUCGGGUAAGUUCCGACCUGCACGAAUGGCGUAAUGAUGGCCACGCUGUCUCCACCCGAGACUCAGUGAAAUUGAAAUCGCUGUGAAGAUGCAGUGUACCCGCGGCUAGACGGAAAGACCCCGUGAACCUUUACUACAGCUUGGCACUGAACAUUGACCCUACAUGUGUAGGAUAGGUGGGAGGCUUUGAAGCACAGUCGCUAGAUUGUGUGGAGCCGUCCUUGAAAUACCACCCUUGUAGUGUUGAUGUUCUAACGUUGACCCCUAAUCGGGGUUGCGGACAGUGCCUGGUGGGUAGUUUGACUGGGGCGGUCUCCUCCCAAAGCGUAACGGAGGAGCACGAAGGUGGGCUAAUCACGGUUGGACAUCGUGAGGUUAGUGCAAUGGCAUAAGCCCGCUUGACUGCGAGAAUGACGGUUCGAGCAGGUGCGAAAGCAGGUCAUAGUGAUCCGGUGGUUCUGAAUGGAAGGGCCAUCGCUCAACGGAUAAAAGGUACUCCGGGGAUAACAGGCUGAUACCGCCCAAGAGUUCAUAUCGACGGCGGUGUUUGGCACCUCGAUGUCGGCUCAUCACAUCCUGGGGCUGAAGUCGGUCCCAAGGGUAUGGCUGUUCGCCAUUUAAAGUGGUACGCGAGCUGGGUUUAGAACGUCGUGAGACAGUUCGGUCCCUAUCUGCCGUGGGCGUUGGAAGAUUGAAGGGGGCUGCUCCUAGUACGAGAGGACCGGAGUGGACGAACCUCUGGUGUUCGGGUUGUGUCGCCAGACGCAUUGCCCGGUAGCUAAGUUCGGAAUCGAUAACCGCUGAAAGCAUCUAAGCGGGAAGCGAGCCCUGAGAUGAGUCUUCCCUGAUACUUUAAGUAUCCUAAAGGGUUGUUCGAGACUAGAACGUUGAUAGGCAGGGUGUGUAAGCGUUGUGAGGCGUUGAGCUAACCUGUACUAAUUGCCCGUGAGGCUUAACCAU